UACGUAGGUGGCAAGCGUUAUCCGGAUUUAUUGGGCGUAAAGGGAACGCAGGCGGUCUUUUAAGUCUGAUGUGAAAGCCUUCGGCUUAACCGGAGUAGUGCAUUGGAAACUGGGAGACUUGAGUGCAGAAGAGGAGAGCGGAACUCCAUGUGUAGCGGUGAAAUGCGUAGAUAUAUGGAAGAACACCAGUGGCGAAAGCGGCUCUCUGGUCUGUAACUGACGCUGAGGUUCGAAAGCGUGGGUAGCAAACAGG
RNAcentral lists this ribosomal RNA (253 nucleotides) under uncultured bacterium. RNAcentral describes it as "partial 16S ribosomal RNA". It matches the Rfam family "Bacterial small subunit ribosomal RNA", at positions 524 to 776 of the family's 1533-position model. The record is from RNAcentral.